AGUGAACGCUGGCGGCAGGCCUAACACAUGCAAGUCGAACGGCAGCACAGAGGAGCUUGCUCCUUGGGUGGCGAGUGGCGGACGGGUGAGGAAUACGUCGGAAUCUGCCUAUUUGUGGGGGAUAACGUAGGGAAACUUACGCUAAUACCGCAUACGACCUUAGGGUGAAAGCGGAGGACCUUCGGGCUUCGCGCAGAUAGAUGAGCCGACGUCGGAUUAGCUAGUGGCGGGGUAAAGGCCCACCAAGGCGACGAUCCGUAGCUGGUCUGAGAGGAUGAUCAGCCACACUGGAACUGAGACACGGUCCAGACUCCUACGGGAGGCAGCAGUGGGGAAUAUUGGACAAUGGGCGCAAGCCUGAUCCAGCCAUGCCGCGUGUGUGAAGAAGGCC
This 391-nucleotide ribosomal RNA is filed under the name uncultured bacterium. RNAcentral describes it as "bacterial SSU rRNA". It matches the Rfam family "Bacterial small subunit ribosomal RNA", at positions 29 to 416 of the family's 1533-position model. The record is from RNAcentral.